AAAUUGAAGAGUUUGAUCAUGGCUCAGAUUGAACGCUGGCGGCAGGCCUAACACAUGCAAGUCGAGCGGUAGCACAGAGAACUUGCUCUCGGGUGACGAGCGGCGGACGGGUGAGUAAUGUCUGGGAAACUGCCUGAUGGAGGGGGAUAACUACUGGAAACGGUAGCUAAUACCGCAUAAUGUCGCAAGACCAAAGUGGGGGACCUUCGGGCCUCAUGCCAUCAGAUGUGCCCAGAUGGGAUUAGCUAGUAGGUGGGGUAACGGCUCACCUAGGCGACGAUCCCUAGCUGGUCUGAGAGGAUGA
RNAcentral lists this ribosomal RNA (304 nucleotides) under Klebsiella pneumoniae. RNAcentral's name for it is "partial 16S ribosomal RNA". It matches the Rfam family "Bacterial small subunit ribosomal RNA", at positions 1 to 303 of the family's 1533-position model. Lineage: Bacteria; Pseudomonadati; Pseudomonadota; Gammaproteobacteria; Enterobacterales; Enterobacteriaceae. The record is from RNAcentral.